This 253-nucleotide ribosomal RNA is filed under the name uncultured bacterium. Its description in RNAcentral is "partial 16S ribosomal RNA". It matches the Rfam family "Bacterial small subunit ribosomal RNA", at positions 524 to 776 of the family's 1533-position model. The record is from RNAcentral.
UACGAAGGGGGCUAGCGUUGCUCGGAAUGACUGGGCGUAAAGGGCGCGUAGGCGGUUUGUACAGUCGGAUGUGAAAUUCCUGGGCUCAACCUGGGGGCUGCAUUUGAUACGUAUGGACUGGAGUGAGGAAGAGGGUCGUGGAAUUCCCAGUGUAGAGGUGAAAUUCGUAGAUAUUGGGAAGAACACCGGUGGCGAAGGCGGCGACCUGGUCCUUUACUGACGCUGAGGCGCGAAAGCGUGGGGAGCAAACAGG